RNAcentral lists this ribosomal RNA (609 nucleotides) under uncultured bacterium. Its description in RNAcentral is "bacterial SSU rRNA". It matches the Rfam family "Bacterial small subunit ribosomal RNA", at positions 61 to 663 of the family's 1533-position model. The record is from RNAcentral.
GUCGAGCGGUAGCAGGAAGUGCUUGUACUUGUGCUGACGAGUGGCGGACGGGUGAAUAAUACUUAGGAACAUGCCUUUGUGUGGGGGAUAACCAUUGAAAAACGAUGGCUAAUACCGCAUAAUGUGUUUGGACCAAAGAGGGCUUUCGGGAUCUCGCGCAAAGAGUGGACUACGUGAGAUUAUCUAGAUGGGGUGGUAAAGGGUCUCCCCGGCGACGAUCUCUAUCUGUGCUGAGAGGAAAAUCUGCCACACUGUGACUGAGACACGCGCCCCACUCCUACGGGAGGCAGCAGUGGGGAAUAUUGCGCAAUGGGGGAAACCCUGAUGCAGCCAUGCCGCGUGUGUGAAAAAAGCCUUCGGGUUGUAAAGCACUUUCAGUUGUGAGGAAAGGUUGAUGGGUAAUACCCAUUACAUGUGACGUUAUCAACAGAAAAAAGACCCCCUAUCUCCGCGCCACCAGCCGCGGGAAUACGGAGGGUCCGAGCGUUAAUCGCAAUUACUGUACGUAAAGCGCACGCACGCGGGUUGAUAAGCUAUAUGUGAGAGCCCCGCGCUCUACCUGUGAAUAGCAUUUAUAACUGUGAGACUAUAGUGUCGUAGAGAGGAGUG